Molecule: small nuclear RNA, 199 nt
Organism: Teleopsis dalmanni
Lineage: Eukaryota; Metazoa; Arthropoda; Insecta; Diptera; Diopsidae
Product: U12 minor spliceosomal RNA
Exons: 1
Source: RefSeq, a predicted model, not a curated record
GUGCCUGAAACUAAUGAGUAAGGAAAACUUCGUCCGUGCUAAUCGCAUGGAAGUUUGCUUCAAGGCAGCGGGAAGAAGGUAAUUCUGAAUUACUGGAUUCUCGUGAAGCGAUAAUUUUUGUAAGGGUAAAGGUCGUCCCUUUGAACUCGUGAGCUCACUACUUUUGAGCUGUGGAGUUUGGGUGAAAGCGAUCUGCCCU